RNAcentral lists this long non-coding RNA (1031 nucleotides) under Gossypium raimondii (Peruvian cotton). RNAcentral describes it as "long non-coding RNA (GRAI_LNC005109)". Lineage: Eukaryota; Viridiplantae; Streptophyta; Magnoliopsida; Malvales; Malvaceae. The record is from RNAcentral.
AAGAACUGAUGACAUGGAAAACUAGAGUUGAGCAGCAGAUGCUGGAAAUUUCAAAUUCAUUGAGCACUCUGCAGGCAUCAAAGCAAUGCACUAUCUUUAGUCCAUCAGCUUCUGAAAGAUGGGAAGAUUGGUUAGAGAGCACCAACCUGGACAAUUUUCAAGGCGGUAACUUGUCACCCUGGAUAGACAAUCCAGAGCUGAUUAAUUUUGGGCAGGAUGCAGUUCAAGAGACGGAUCUGGCCCCACUUGCAUGGCCAAGACCUGGUCAUAGCCCCUUUGAAGGCCCUUUUUGUGCUCAAGAUCUGGACAUGAUUAAUGAAGAAAUGGCUAAAAUAAUGAGGUAACAAAAGCUAUUUGACCAAUUUUGGUAUAAGAUUAAUGUGUUUAACGUUGGAGCUACUCUCUUUUGUUUUGUAAACAGCAAUGUGGAGGAGCUAGCACCAAGGAGGCAAGGGGAAGAUCAAGCUAAUGUGACACCUGAUUCUUCUGUAACUGCCAAUUCAAAGUCAGAUCUUGAUAAUUUGCUUCUGGUUCAGGUGAUGUCAAACAAAGUUUUCUUUUAGAGAAAAAUAAGACACAUAAAACAGUGCAUAUUGGAUGCAUAGGUACCCUUAGAGAUGCAUGUAAAUGUUUAGUCUUGCAUGUGGAUUUGCUUGUCAGUGAGUAUACUCUGCUAUGCGAUGAAAGGCCAAUUUGGAAUCUCCUCUUUGACAGGAAAUGUUGAAGGACCUGGUGAAGUGGAAAGCUAAAAUUAAGCAACAGCUGACAGAUAUUUCAAGUGCGGUUAGCGUUCUGCAGAAAUCAAGGCAGUAAAUUCUCAUCAACUAUGCAUGGAUAGAACUGAGUGGAGAAAUACAUUUGAAUCCCGCAACGCUCCUUCCCCACCAACCCUCCAUCUCCCAUAUUUUCGGAUAGCUUAAAUUAACAUUUAUAUUAAGUAGGAUUUAGAUUUUGUAUAGGACUCACAGACUGAAGCUGAGCCCCCUGCACUUUCUGAUACACUACAUCUGUGGCACCCUAUCAGACCUUUA